UAGACUUUUUCAUAAAGUACUGCUGAGUUUUUUCACAUAAAGAUGCUAUUGUGAACUGAAUGUAUUCCUUCAAAAUUCUUAUGUUGAAACCUUUAUCCCCAGUGUGGCUAUAUUUGGAGAUGAGGCCUUUAUUGAAGUAAUGAAAGUCAAGUGAAUUCAUAAAGAUAGGACCUUGAUCUAAUGAGAUUAGUUUCUUUGUAAGAAAAAACACCAGACAGCUCUCUCCCCUCUCCCUUUUUCCUUGCAUGCCACCCUCCCCCUCCCCCCUUUUUCUUCUCUUUCCCCACAGCCUUCUCUCCCCACCAUGUGAGGACACAACAAGAGGGCUACAUCUGCAAGCCAGGAAGACAGCCUUCACCAGAAACCAAAUCCCGCCAGACCUUGAUCUUGGACUUUCCAGCCUCCAGAACUGUGAGAAAGUAAAUUUUCAUUGUUUAAGCCACCCAGCCUAUGGUAUUUUGUUACAGCAACUCAUGCAGACUUUGGUACCAAGAAAUGGGGUGCUGUUGUAACAAGUACCUAAAAGUGUGGCCGCGGUUUUAGAACUGGUGGAUGGGGGGAGGUUGGAGGAAUCUGAGGCACAGGCUAGAAACAUGGAAUGUUAGAGGCAAUUCUGGUGAUUGCUCUGAAAGAAAAGAAGAGAGCUGGAGAGAAAGGUUCUCUUAGAGAAUCUUCUUAGGGAACACAUCAAUAAUCACGAACAGAAUGUUGAUAGAAAUACGGACGGUAAAGGUAUCAUAUGGAAAUAAGAAACAGAGAAUGACACAUCUGUAUCUGCGCAGGUUACCCGUCAGCCAUUUGAAUGGCAAGAAGGACACCACCCGUCAUACCAAGGAGUGCUCUUAUAAGCCGAGGGCUAUGUAACAGGCACUGGGUUCAUUCUUUAAUGAAAUACGAUAAAAAACCAAGGGACUCUUUAA
Molecule: long non-coding RNA, 920 nt
Organism: Panthera uncia (snow leopard)
Lineage: Eukaryota; Metazoa; Chordata; Mammalia; Carnivora; Felidae
Exons: 2
Source: RefSeq, a predicted model, not a curated record